UUUGGCGUUGGGAUUAUUCUUGAUAAUGCCGUUGCCUACGGCGUGCAACAGGUGAGUCUUACCCAGACCGGUACCGCCAUA
Molecule: antisense RNA, 81 nt
Filed under: Shewanella indica
Lineage: Bacteria; Pseudomonadati; Pseudomonadota; Gammaproteobacteria; Alteromonadales; Shewanellaceae
Description: antisense RNA of dnaA mRNA
Rfam family: antisense RNA of dnaA mRNA
Source: RNAcentral